AACCUAGCACACCUGCGGUGUGUACCUGCGGAGGGAUCAUUAACCUUUCAAAUCAGGGUGCGGCGCGGCCCCCGAGGAGCGGAAACAAUCCUUGGGAGGUAUGCGGGGGCUUCGAGCCCCCCAUUUACGCACGCACGACUGCCAUCCUUACUUUACGAGCACCUUCUGUUCUCCCUCGGCGGGGCAACCUGCCGUUGGAACCGAAUAAACUCUUCUUGCAUCUAGCAUUACCUGUUCCGA
RNAcentral lists this unclassified non-coding RNA (240 nucleotides) under soil metagenome. RNAcentral's name for it is "partial contains 5.8S ribosomal RNA, internal transcribed spacer 2, and large subunit ribosomal RNA". The record is from RNAcentral.